UUCCCUUACCUCUGUCCUCUGCGUGAUGUCAAUUGCUUCGUUGAAUAGUGUUUGAUGUGGGUUCCGUUCAGGUCAUGAUGGUAGUUUUCCCUUACCUCUGUGUGCGUUAGGUUGAUAGUAGGUGAUUUGUGUAAGUGCAGUGGGUACUGAAGGAGAAGAGCAGCGUGUUGAAUUUGAAUGGGGUAUGCCAUUUUGAGCUGAAGUUAGGUUUAGUAACUAGAUGUAGAAUUAGAUUGUGAUGAAGGCUAAACAGAAGCUCUCCUUUUCUACGUGUUUCUUCAAUUGAGAAAACACUUUAACCCAUGGGAAAGAGGGAUGGAGGUCAGUAUGUAGAGGACUGAUGGAAGCUAGAUGACCAUAUGUGCAAAGGACAAGAGGUCGAUGAAGUUGAGCCCAUAAUGGAAGCUUUACCUAAUCUGGAACUGUAAGUUUUAGUAACCUUUGAUAUGCUAUCCAAGUCUACUCAGAAGUGCAUAUUUUCAUUGAUCUAUUCAUCAAUGCGUUAUUUAGUUAAUCAUAUUUAAGAACGAAUUUAACUAGAUUAAUAAAGAAAUUGUUUUUCUCAUCCCAUCACAUUGAUCUAUUCAGUUUAUGUUUCAUAUGCAUAAAGCAUGAUACCUAACUUUAAGUAGUGAUUGUCACUGAAAGGUUGCAUACUUAUUUUUCUAAAUGAUUUAGUAAUGAAUUACUUACAUGGUAAUAUCAAUAUGGCAGCCUUAAGCAUGAUAGGUAACUAAAAUAUAUGUUUUCUGUGUUUUAUGUAGUCUUCAAACUUUAAUACAUGUUUCACUCAGGUUAAAACUAAGAUUAAACAAAAGUAAUUUGUGUGGUCUUCUUUUACUUCUUAUUAAAGGGGCUAUGACAUAUGAACACUGGCUUAUUUUGUUAUAAAGCAUAGCACAAACUAUGUAAUGUGCUUAGUUACAUAUUGUGUAGAUAAUCUGAUACAGUUGCUCUAGAUUUAUAUGCUUCAAAUACUCAUUUUUCAGUUUUUAGUAUUUCAAAUACUGUCUUAUCUUUAUUUCUGGUUUUAUCUUUCUUUAAGUGCUAUUGGGCAGGAUCUUUUUGCUUAAUCUCAUAUCAGUUAUUUAGGUGUAGGAAAAAUGAAUGCAUAGUUUUCAAGUGUAGGAUCGCUAUAACAAGUGGCUUUUGAUUAGUUUUUUUAAUAGUAUGCAUUGGUUGUGGUAUAGAACAACAUUAUAUACUACAACAUUAACCGGAUAGUAAGAUGUAUAAUGCUGUCAAAAACAUGUUGUUCUACUACUCUUGGAUCUGGAAAUCCACUGUUUAACAAUGAAUGUAUAUAACGCUUAACUUCUAUGAUGAGAAGUUCAUUGCGAGGUUAUGUCUGCUCAUGGCAUACUGAUAUUGGCAAUAAAUUGGACCCAAGAUUUGCUUCAUCCUUAUUGGAAAAGGGUUUGCACUGAUUAAUAUGUAUCCGGACUCAUAUCACGGAAACAAAAUUCAGAUGACCUCAACAGUUAUAUUAUUGGUGACAAGUCAAUUGAAAAAGAUGCUGGGAUCAAUGGAAUUUCUUAUGUAGAAGCUUUGCCACCUCCUCCAGAAAUUAAAGACAAUAUUCCAUCACAAAAAUAUAAGGAUCCGUCAAUUACUUCAUAUGUACCAGACCUGGAAGGGGGCCUGUUUUGCUACCUGGUGAAAAUCAAGCUCUUCUCAAUGGUGAAAAUGGGCUUCCCAAGUGAGUUUAAGGACAUAUUCCCAUGGUUGGUCAAUUCUUCAUCAUACUUAUCCUGCAGGUUUCAUUAGCCUGAAAUAUUUUAGUUUUUUACUACAUGACCCUUUCAAGGAAGUAUGUGGUAUCAUUAUUUGUUCAUUCCAAAGUUCGCAGCUUGUGUUUUUUCGUAUAUCUGUAAUUCUUAUUUCAAAUAUUGUCAGGUUAUUUCUUGGUGAAAAAUAAGUCUCCUUCCUUUCUGUAUUGUUGAGCAAAAAUUUGAGUUUUCAAGAUGUCAGCUUUUUAGGUGAACAAUUUCCCUAUUUUUGUUUAUUGUGAUAUGACUACUGUUCUCAUUCACCUCAAAAAAAAAAAAAAAGAAUGGUUCUUUUGUUGUCUAGGGUGUAAAAAUUGAGGCUUAUAUUGAGAAGAACUAUCUUCCUAAGUUCAGAGGUGAAUGGUACUAAAAGCAGGGCUUUUUGGUUCGUUGGUCUUUUCCAUCCCCUUCAUAGCUUAUAAAUGGAACCAAGCAAACAAGAUUUACUGAACUAUGGGCAAAGUGGCUUACAGAAGUAAGAACCUGCAAAGGAAGAACCUUCAGAAGAACCAGAAGAUUCAGUUCCAGAUCUAUUCUGCUGACAAGCAAGGGUAAAGAGCCAAUUGAAAAGGAUUGCCAGGCCAAUGUACUCUAAUCCACCAGUUCACGGGGCUAGGAUUGUUGCUGAUAUAGUUGGAAAUCCAGUUCUCUUCAAUGAAUGGAAAGCAGAGAUGGAAAUGAUGGUAGGAAGGAUAAAGAAUGUUAGACAUAAGCUAUAUGAUAGUAUUUCUUCAAAAGACAAGAGUGGAAAGGAUUGGUCAUUCAUGGGCUUGAACAAGAAUCAGAGUGACAAUAUGACAAACAAGUGGCAUGUAUACAUGACAAAAGAUGGAAGGACUUCCCUGGCAGGAUUGUCACUGGCCAAAUGUGAAUACCUUGCAUAUGUUAUUAUCGACUCUUAUCAUAAUGUCAGCUGAAAGUCUGAAACUAGAUGAAAUAUUCUUUAUCACCAAGCUUAUAUUUUUUGGUGAGUAUUAUAUCCAAUCAUAGUGGUCGGCACACAUGACAAUAAUUCAUGUAAACAUUAAUGUCAUACAUGUACCUUUAAUUCCCUUAGGAAAUUUUGUAACCUUGAAAUAAGUUGAAUCAAAGUAUUGAUGCAUAAUGAGUCUGCUUCUCAGACUUGGAGCAAAUUGGAUCAAA
Long non-coding RNA from Lotus japonicus, 2912 nucleotides. RefSeq lists it as uncharacterized. The transcript has 6 exons. The record is from RefSeq and is a predicted model, not a curated record. Lineage: Eukaryota; Viridiplantae; Streptophyta; Magnoliopsida; Fabales; Fabaceae.